Molecule: ribosomal RNA, 251 nt
Filed under: uncultured prokaryote
Description: partial 16S ribosomal RNA
Rfam family: Bacterial small subunit ribosomal RNA
Source: RNAcentral
UACGGAGGAUGCAAGCGUUAUCCGGAUUCAUUGGGUUUAAAGGGUGCGUAGGCGGGCUAUUAAGUCAGUGGUGAAAUCCUGCAGCUUAACUGCAGAACUGCCGUUGAUACUGAUAGUCUUGAGUUUGGUUAAGGUAGGCGGAAUGUGUAAUGUAGCGGUGAAAUGCUUAGAUAUUACACAGAACACCAAUUGCGUAGGCAGCUUACUGAGCCGACACUGACGCUGAGGCACGAAAGCAUGGGGAUCAAACA